AUUGAACGCUGGCGGCAGGCUUAACACAUGCAAGUCGAGCGGGGUGAUGGUGCUUGCACUAUCACUUAGCGGCGGACGGGUGAGUAAUGCUUAGGAAUCUGCCUAUUAGUGGGGGACAACAUCUCGAAAGGGAUGCUAAUACCGCAUACGUCCUACGGGAGAAAGCAGGGGAUCACUUGUGACCUUGCGCUAAUAGAUGAGCCUAAGUCGGAUUAGCUAGUUGGUGGGGUAAAGGCCUACCAAGGCGACGAUCUGUAGCGGGUCUGAGAGGAUGAUCCUCCACACUGGGACUGAGACACGGCCCAGACUCCUACGGGAGGCAGCAGUGGGGAGUAUUGGACAAUGGGGGGAACCCUGAUCCAGCCAUGCCGCGUGUGUGAAGAAGGCCUUAUGGUUGUAAAGCACUUUAAGCGAGGAGGAGGCUCUUUUGGUUAAUACCCAAGAUGAGUGGACGUUACUCGCAGAAUAAGCACCGGCUAACUCUGUGCCAGCCGCCGCAGUAA
RNAcentral lists this ribosomal RNA (503 nucleotides) under uncultured bacterium. RNAcentral's name for it is "partial 16S ribosomal RNA". It matches the Rfam family "Bacterial small subunit ribosomal RNA", at positions 30 to 523 of the family's 1533-position model. The record is from RNAcentral.